This 241-nucleotide ribosomal RNA is filed under the name Staphylococcus aureus. RNAcentral's name for it is "partial 23S ribosomal RNA". It matches the Rfam family "Bacterial large subunit ribosomal RNA", at positions 2537 to 2777 of the family's 2925-position model. Lineage: Bacteria; Bacillati; Bacillota; Bacilli; Caryophanales; Staphylococcaceae. The record is from RNAcentral.
UCAUCGCAUCCUGGGGCUGUAGUCGGUCCCAAGGGUUGGGCUGUUCGCCCAUUAAAGCGGUACGCGAGCUGGGUUCAGAACGUCGUGAGACAGUUCGGUCCCUAUCCGUCGUGGGCGUAGGAAAUUUGAGAGGAGCUGUCCUUAGUACGAGAGGACCGGGAUGGACAUACCUCUGGUGUACCAGUUGUCGUGCCAACGGCAUAGCUGGGUAGCUAUGUGUGGACGGGAUAAGUGCUGAAAG